CCCCUAGAUGUUCUGGGCCGCACGCGCGCUACACUGAACAGUUCAACAAGUCUUAACCUUGGCCGAUAGGGCUGGGUAAUCUUUGAACGCUGUUCGUGAUUGGGAUAGACCUUUGCAAUUAUGGGUCUUCAACGAGGAAUUCCUAGUAAACGCAAGUCAUCAGCUUGCAUUGAUUACGUCCCUGCCCUUUGUACACACCGCCCGUCGCACCUACCGAUUGAAUGGUCCGGUGAAAUCUCGGGACGGCGGCUUGGUCGCUUGCGUCCGACUGCUGAAACUUGAUUAAACCAUAUCAUUCAGAGGAAGGUGAAGUCGUAACA
This 320-nucleotide ribosomal RNA is filed under the name uncultured eukaryote. Its description in RNAcentral is "partial 18S ribosomal RNA". It matches the Rfam family "Eukaryotic small subunit ribosomal RNA", at positions 1470 to 1796 of the family's 1831-position model. The record is from RNAcentral.